This 468-nucleotide ribosomal RNA is filed under the name uncultured bacterium. RNAcentral's name for it is "bacterial SSU rRNA". It matches the Rfam family "Bacterial small subunit ribosomal RNA", at positions 326 to 793 of the family's 1533-position model. The record is from RNAcentral.
ACGCUAUCACUCCUACGGGAGGCAGCAGUGAGGAAUAUUGGUCAAUGGAGGGAACUCUGAACCAGCCAUCCCGCGUGUAGGAAGACGGCCUUAUGGGUUGUAAACUACUUUUAUACAGGAAGAAACGUACCCUCGUGAGGGUGCCUGACGGUACUGUAGGAAUAAGCACCGGCUAACUCCGUGCCAGCAGCCGCGGUAAUACGGAGGGUGCGAGCGUAUCCGGAUUUAUUGGGCGUAAAGCGCAUGCAGGUGGUUUGUUAAGUCAGAUGUGAAAGCCCGGGGCUCAACCUCGGAAUUGCAUUUGAAACUGGCAGACUAGAGUACUGUAGAGGGGGGUAGAAUUUCAGGUGUAGCGGUGAAAUGCGUAGAGAUCUGAAGGAAUACCGGUGGCGAAGGCGGCCCCCUGGACAGAUACUGACACUCAGAUGCGAAAGCGUGGGGAGCAAACAGGAUUAGAUACCCUGGUAG